GAGCUAUCAUCAUAAUUGGUUUUUUAAUUUCUAUAUCAUAAUUGGUUUCAUAGAGCUGAAUUAUGUGCACCCGAUUGUUAUAUCUGUCCCAACUGGUUUGAUUAACGGUUUAUAGAGUUCUGAUGAACUGAACCAGUCGUAUUUCUAUUUGUAUUAUUCUGACCAUAUUACAAACAUAUUUUUUUAAUGGUGAAAAAUUUUGAAGCUAAGAUUAUUUAGCGUGUUCAUUGCCUAAGGUUCUGUAUGGGAAGCUAUUAUUGUGAAACUUGUUAUUUACUCUACAUGGCCUACUUCUUUUUACACAUGGAUUAAGAAAAUAUUUUUAAUAUAGUUAAAACAAUAAAUUUUGUUUAGUCUUUUC
Molecule: unclassified non-coding RNA, 361 nt
Filed under: Hevea brasiliensis (rubber tree)
Lineage: Eukaryota; Viridiplantae; Streptophyta; Magnoliopsida; Malpighiales; Euphorbiaceae
Source: RNAcentral